AGAUUGAACGCUGGCGGCGUGCCUAACACAUGCAAGUCGUUAUCGGUAACAGGUGUAGCAAUACAUGCUGACGAGAGGCGGACGGGUGAGUAACGCUUGGGAAUCUGCCUAUUAGUGGGGGACAACCCGGGGAAACUCGGGCUAAUACCGCAUACGCUCUACGGAGGAAAGCAGGGGAUCGCAAGACCUUGCGCUAACAGAUGAGCCCAAGUCGGAUUAGCUAGUUGGUAGGGU
Molecule: ribosomal RNA, 234 nt
Filed under: uncultured soil bacterium
Lineage: Bacteria
Description: partial 16S ribosomal RNA
Rfam family: Bacterial small subunit ribosomal RNA
Source: RNAcentral